ACAACAUUCGAACCGUCGGUCUACCAAGUAAUAUCACCUGCUCGGUGGAGAAGAUCUUCCCUUUUUUGU
Molecule: microRNA precursor, 69 nt
Filed under: Bombyx mori (domestic silkworm)
Lineage: Eukaryota; Metazoa; Arthropoda; Insecta; Lepidoptera; Bombycidae
Description: mir-2774 microRNA precursor family
Rfam family: mir-2774 microRNA precursor family
Source: Rfam by way of RNAcentral